UCUCUCUCGGGAGCCGCCGCGGGGCCGAUCUCUCUCGGGAGCCGCCGCGGGGCCGGUCUCUCUCGGGAGCCGCCGCGGGGCCGAUCUCUCUCGGGGGCCGCCGCGGGGCCGAUCUCUCUCGGGAGCCGCCGCGGGGCCGAUCUCGGGAGCGGGGAGGUUCCGUGUUCAGCCUUCAAUCCAGAUUUUCAGUUGAGGCCAUGGAAUCCUCAGUGACAACCUUCUGCAAACACCAGCGCUGGUGACAGUGGGUUUUCUACUUAAGGACCCGAGAGCCAGCAGAGGCCACCGGGAUCGACCACUGCCCAUGAGGGAGAGACACGCCUGGGCUGGGGGAAGGUGUGAUCUUGCACAGCGAGUGCCCAGAGGUGCUGCGGUCCCUGUUGAGAGACACGUGUAUCGAUACAAACGUUUCCUAACAGCUAUUACACCUGGAGCCAGUGAUGAUGGCUUGAUUAAUUCUCAGUGAUUUUUUAUUUCUCCACCUUCCUCCACAUGACUCUUCUGAGUGGUGUGAAGCUACAUAGCAGCAGGUUUUUUGACAGAUUAUAGUCAUGCCUGCAUGGACUGUUAAAAGCAGUCACCAGUGACUUUUCUGUGGUCAGAGCAAGCUCUCAGCAGAAGCAGAAGAGCCCCUUGCACCUAUGGAGAAGGCAGCAAAGCUGUUGACCCAGGAAUCUUAUAGAAGUGGCUGGUAAAGAAGAGGAGGAAUAUGAGCAGAGGUGAUGGAGAAGGAAAUUGAUACUGAUUAGUGUCAGAGUGUGUCCUGGGCAGGAAUAGUCUGAGUGAGGGAAUGUGGAUGGUGUCACUGCACAGUCCUUGAGGGACUCAGGGUCAGAGGCUCUCACUGCAGUGUGUGACACUUCUGCACUUGGGAAUAUCACUGGAACGGGGUACAAUAAAGAAUACUAAAAUAAAUAAAGUAGUCCAAAAUUAUGUUGCUGCUGAA
Long non-coding RNA from Cyanistes caeruleus (blue tit), 946 nucleotides. RefSeq lists it as uncharacterized. The record is from RefSeq and is a predicted model, not a curated record. NCBI's taxonomy places the organism in Eukaryota, Metazoa, Chordata, Aves, Passeriformes, Paridae.